GGAGUGCUUUGUAAACCGUAAUGGGUCAAGCGAAUGUAAGUUGGUUCACUAAAUGCCUGUAUUUAUACGUAUGUGAGUAUAGACGCGCACACACCCCCUGAGCUGUCCCCUGGGGUUCGUGGUGGGGUGGGGACUGGGAGGUCUGGCUGGAGGGCACUGCGACGGGCUUGCCUUGGCUCAGAGCGUGAUCCUGCGACCCCAGCGUGCAGCCACACUUCCUCCAGGCUUUAGAGACCCAUCCAUUAGCUCCCAUCAGUCUGCACGUCUCACACGCAGAUGAGAGAUUUGCCUAAAAAUCCCUGUCAGAACAAUUCAGAGCUGGGGAGAGGGGUUUGCUAAAGCUGAUGGAUUAAGUUCUUGUCCCCGCCUACUCUUGGAAUCCCUGUGUGUGGUUCUGGGGUUACACUUUUGUCUUAUAAAAAUAUCUGCACCCUGGAUAUUUAUUGCUUGCACGCCCUUAUUUUUAGUAGUGCUGUCUUUCUCGGUUUAUAGAGUCCCAUUUGUCUCAUCCAAGAGCGAAAAAAGAAGGUAUUUCUUCUUGACGUCUUUCCUGAUUCCCUGCCCCUCCCCCCUUUAAUGGCAUCGCAAAUGCUGGAUGGAUCCCCCCUCCCCCGCUGACCCUGGCAGCAUCUUUCUCCGUGGUGUCCUAGUUGGGGUCUGCAGCAGGCAGCUUGGGGAUGUGUUAACUAAAACGUGGGUGUUCUCUCCAAAGAACAGUAAAACAGCCACAGAGCGCCCCAGCUUGAUUCGUUUGGGGGUAUUUCUGCUUCUGAAGCACAUCAGUUGGGUGCCCCAUUGCUAAGGCUUGGUGGCGGUAAAUGCUGCUUCCAAAACCGGUGGCUUCUUUCAAGUGCAGACGGUAACACAGGAUGCUUCCCCGGUGAGUGAAUCAGCUGAAUGCACAAGGAAGUGAAUUGGCAGGAGCUGGCGAUGCCUUCUCUUGAUCCUCCCAGAAAGCUGAGAGAUCUGUGUGCAGGUCCCAACUUAGCACUUCUCCACUCAAGCCAGUUUCCUCUUCUGCGAAGGUAUUAUGUCCUGUCUGCUGAUAGAAAGGUUUCGUCUCAGCAGGGGCUCACCCCUGCGGGACGGUUUUCCCCUGACUUAAGAGGGAAGAUGGGGGUUCCAGAGAAACGGCGACCUCAUCCUUGGGUGGCUGCUAUAAUUUACAGCAGUGAUUGUCAGCCCCGGCUGCACAGUAGCGUCAUCUAGAGGAGACUUUGGGGAAAAAGCCAGGCUGGUACCCACACCAAGUUGGAGGCGCUGCAGGUGGGGCCCGGGCAGAAUUUUUCAGAAGCUCCUUAGGUUGAGAACUGCUAACUGAGGAAGAAGUGCUUGAGGAUUUCGGGAGUGAAGGACCUUAGAGAGGCCCAGGCCUGUCCACUGUCACUUGUGCAGUGGGACUUACUGUGGGAGGCCACAAAGGCCGGCAUCUCACGCAUAUUACCCUGAGGCUGAGCCUCUCAGGAAUGAUGAUGAAGCAUCCUUGCAUUUCACCGAAAGGGGCAAAGGAGACGCCAGAGGUCAGGUAACUCAUCCAAGGCCGGAGGAAGUACUGGGGCCCGGCUUUGAACUCUGUGGUUCUAGACCCUCUCAGCCACGUGCUAUUGUACUGCCAACUGAUGCGCUGAACGCCGGUCCUUCAGCGGCUGGCAGAGACUGCGGCUGUGUUGAGAGGGCGGUUCGCUGGGUAGAGAUUAGGCAGAGUUAAAACGUGCUGGGAAGUAGUGGAUGCAGGUGGCCUGCACCACAUAGAACAGAAGCACUUUUGAAAGAGGCUUUGCGGGGCCCGGGUUCUCCCGCCCGCAGACCCCAGCAACCCCUCCCCACCGCGAGGAGCUCGCGUGAAUGUGGCUUCUUAUCACGGAUGGAUCGGACUCUUGGGCUGAUGUGAUCCCAGGAGAGGAGGCUUUGUGUCCAGCGGGCCACAGCCAAGCGUCCGCUGUCCCUUCCUGCCGUCCAUUCUCCCAGGGCCAAGCACGUGGACCUUGUUUCCCAGAGAGCCCUUCACGGAUGCUGUCACCGCAGAGUCACAGCAAGGCUUUCUGAGCCGCGUGUGGUUUGCCCUUUCGGGGGGGGGGGGCAGGUCGCCAUGGUUACUGCAGACGCGGCAGGGCCGUCUUGGGCACCGACCCCGCCCACACCCGCGGUUACGCCGGCACUAUUUUCCAUCCGCCCCCACCCCCACCCCAAACUCGCUGGAGCAUAACUUAGCUACUCAGAAGAGAAGAGUGUGCGUCACGUGGCAUCUUUUUGAGGUUAGCAUUUCAGAGCGCCUGCGGGUACAAAGCUUGGGGGCGCAGAUCAGGGAGCAUCAGCAGAGUGUCUUCCUUGGGUUUAUUUUACUUGCAGAGCCUGCGUUUGGAGUCCCUCAGUACCGCUGGCUGGGAGUCUGUGCUGCCUGCUUGAGGCAGUGGGUUCCAGCAGCCGGAGAGGUUGGCAGCUCAGUCAGGGAGCAGGGCUGGACCGCGAACCGCUCGUGCAGCCUCUGUCCCCGGGCUGCACGCGGAUGUCGGCUUCCUCACCCUCCGACUUCUGUGCGUCCCCUGCCCCACAAGUACUUUUUGGAAAACCUUGCGGUAAACUCCGUACCUGUCUUCUCUGACCCCUGUGCUGCUGGGGAGGAGGAGGAAGAGGCAGAGUUCCAGGGAGGAAGGUGUGACAGAUGAGAGGGGGCGGAGGGGCUGCAGAGAAGAGGAAGCUGAGGGUGGGAGGGGAACCCAGGCAGGAGCAGGUGACUGGAGGACCACGAAGGUACUUGCCAUGGGCUGUGAGUUUAAGGGGGCGGGGGUAAGACCCGAGGGGUUCACUACAAAGUUUUGUGGCUCCUUUGCUCCCUUGGGGACCGCGGGUGGAGGGGCCCCAGCGGGCACGUUUGACAGUCCCUCUGGCAGCUCCUUGAACCUCAUGCAAGAAGCCCAAGGAAGGAGUUCCCGUGGUGGCUCAGUGGUUAGUGAAUCCGACUAGGAACCAUGAGGUUGUAGGUUUGAUCCCUGGCCUUGCUCAGUGGGUUAAAAGAUCCGGCGUUGCUGUGAGCUGUGGUGUAGGUCGCAGACUCGGGCUUGGAUGCUGUGUUGCUGCGGCUCUGGUGUAGGCCGGUGGCUACAGCUCUGAUUCGACCCGUAGCUUGGGAACCUCCAUAUGCCCUGGGAGUGGCUCAAGAAAAGACAAAAAAAAAAAAAAAAAAAAAAAAA
This 3191-nucleotide long non-coding RNA is filed under the name Sus scrofa (pig). Its description in RNAcentral is "lncRNA (ENSSSCG00015011962.1)". Lineage: Eukaryota; Metazoa; Chordata; Mammalia; Artiodactyla; Suidae. The record is from RNAcentral.